Molecule: ribosomal RNA, 427 nt
Filed under: uncultured Caryophanales bacterium
Lineage: Bacteria; Bacillati; Bacillota; Bacilli; Caryophanales
Description: uncultured Bacillales bacterium partial 16S ribosomal RNA
Rfam family: Bacterial small subunit ribosomal RNA
Source: RNAcentral
UAGGGAAUCUUCCGCAAUGGACGAAAGUCUGACGGAGCAACGCCGCGUGAGCGAAGAAGGCCUUCGGGUCGUAAAGCUCUGUUGUUAGGGAAGAACAAGUAUCGGAGUAACUGCCGGUACCUUGACGGUACCUAACCAGAAAGCCACGGCUAACUACGUGCCAGCAGCCGCGGUAAUACGUAGGUGGCAAGCGUUGUCCGGAAUUAUUGGGCGUAAAGCGCGCGCAGGCGGUCCUUUAAGUCUGAUGUGAAAGCCCACGGCUCAACCGUGGAGGGUCAUUGGAAACUGGGGGACUUGAGUGCAGAAGAGGAAAGCGGAAUUCCACGUGUAGCGGUGAAAUGCGUAGAGAUGUGGAGGAACACCAGUGGCGAAGGCGGCUUUCUGGUCUGUAACUGACGCUGAGGCGCGAAAGCGUGGGGAGCAAACA